GAUGAACGCUGGCGGCGUGCCUAAUACAUGCAAGUCGAGCGAACAGAUGAGGAGCUUGCUCCUCUGACGUUAGCGGCGGACGGGUGAGUAACACGUGGAUAACCUACCUAUAAGACUGGGAUAACUUCGGGAAACCGGAGCUAAUACCGGAUAAUAUAUUGAACCGCAUGGUUCAAUAGUGAAAGACGGUUUUGCUGUCACUUAUAGAUGGAUCCGCGCCGCAUUAGCUAGUUGGUAAGGUAACGGCUUACCAAGGCAACGAUGCGUAGCCGACCUGAGAGGGGGAUCGGCCACACGGGAGCUGAGACACGGUCCAGACUCCUACGGGAGGCAGCAGUAGGGAAUCUUCCGCAAUGGGCGAAAGCCUGACGGAGCAACGCCGCGUGAGUGAUGAAGGUCUUCGGAGCGUAAAACUCUGUUAUUAGGGAAGAACAAAUGUGGAAGUAACUAUGCACGUCUUGACGGUACCUGAUCAGAAAGCCACGGCUAACUACGUG
This 497-nucleotide ribosomal RNA is filed under the name uncultured bacterium. RNAcentral's name for it is "partial 16S ribosomal RNA". It matches the Rfam family "Bacterial small subunit ribosomal RNA", at positions 28 to 507 of the family's 1533-position model. The record is from RNAcentral.